UACGUAGGGUCCAAGCGUUAUCCGGAAUCACUGGGCGUAAAGCGUGCGUAGGCGGUUUGUUAAGUGAGAUGUGAAAUCGUGUGGCUCAACCAUAUCGUUGUGUCUCAUACUGGCAAACUAGAGGAUAGCAAAGGCAAGUGGAAUUACGAGUGUAGCAGUGAAAUGCGUAGAGAUUCGUAGGAACACCAAUGGCGAAGGCAGCUUGCUGGGCUAUUUCUGACGCUCAGGCACGAAAGCGUGGGGAGCGAACAGG
Molecule: ribosomal RNA, 253 nt
Filed under: uncultured bacterium
Lineage: Bacteria
Description: partial 16S ribosomal RNA
Rfam family: Bacterial small subunit ribosomal RNA
Source: RNAcentral